CUACGGGAUGCAGCAGUGGGGAAUAUUGCACAAUGGAGGAAACUCUGAUGCAGCAACGCCGCGUGGAGGAUGACACUUUUCGGAGCAUAAACUCCUUUUAUAUAGGAAGAAGAUGACGGUACUAUAUGAAUAAGCGCCGGCUAACUCCGUGCCAGCAGCCGCGGUAAUACGGAGGGCGCAAGCGUUACUUGGAAUCACUGGGCGUAAAGAGCGUGUAGGCGGAUUAAAAAGUCAGAAGUGAAAUCCUAUAGCUUAACUAUAGAACUGCUUCUGAAACUCUUAAUCUAGAAUAUGGGAGAGGUAGAUGGAAUCUCUGGUGUAGGGGUAAAAUCCGUAGAGAUCAGAAGGAAUACCGAUUGCGAAGGCGAUCUACUAGAACAUUAUUGACGCUGAGACGCGAAAGCGUGGGGAGCAAACAGGAUUAGAUACCCGAGUAGUU
RNAcentral lists this ribosomal RNA (439 nucleotides) under uncultured bacterium. RNAcentral's name for it is "partial 16S ribosomal RNA". It matches the Rfam family "Bacterial small subunit ribosomal RNA", at positions 339 to 795 of the family's 1533-position model. The record is from RNAcentral.